GCGCACCAGGCGCGAAAACUUUACAAUGUGCGAAAGCACGAUAAGGGAACUCUGAGUGCCUCCUAAGGAGGCUGUUCUGAUGUCUAAAAAGCAACAGAAGUAAGGGCUGGGUAAGACCGGUGCCAGCCGCCGCGGUAACACCGGCAGCCCAAGUGGUAGCCACGUUUAUUGGGUCUAAAGCGUUCGUAGCCGGCCAGGUAAGUUCCUUGGUAAAUUUAGCCGCUUAACGGUUAAGCUUUCGGGGAAUACUGCUUGGCUUGGGACUGGGAGAGGUCAGAGGUACUCCGGGGGUAGGGGUGAAAUCUAUUAAUCCCUGGGGGACCACCGGUAGCGAAGGCGUCUGACCAGACCAGGUCCGACGGUGAGGGACGAAGGCUAGGGGCGCGAACCGGAUUAGA
RNAcentral lists this ribosomal RNA (398 nucleotides) under uncultured microorganism. RNAcentral's name for it is "bacterial SSU rRNA". It matches the Rfam family "Archaeal small subunit ribosomal RNA", at positions 330 to 733 of the family's 1478-position model. The record is from RNAcentral.